Molecule: transfer RNA, 79 nt
Filed under: Sphaerodactylus townsendi
Lineage: Eukaryota; Metazoa; Chordata; Lepidosauria; Squamata; Sphaerodactylidae
Description: tRNA-Ala
Rfam family: tRNA (bases 8-76)
About the family: Transfer RNA (tRNA) molecules are approximately 80 nucleotides in length. Their secondary structure includes four short double-helical elements and three loops (D, anti-codon, and T loops).
Source: RNAcentral
GUGGGGAGGGACUGUGGCUCAGUGGUAGAGCAUGUGCCCAGCAAGCAGAUGAUCCCGGGUUCAAUUCCCAGCCUCUACA